Molecule: ribosomal RNA, 451 nt
Filed under: uncultured bacterium
Lineage: Bacteria
Description: bacterial SSU rRNA
Rfam family: Bacterial small subunit ribosomal RNA
Source: RNAcentral
CCUACGGGAGGCAGCAGUGGGGAAUAUUGGACAAUGGGCGCAAGCCUGAUCCAGCCAUGCCGCGUGAGUGAUGAAGGCCUUAGGGUUGUAAAGCUCUUUUGUCCGGGACGAUAAUGACGGUACCGGAAGAAUAAGCCCCGGCUAACUUCGUGCCAGCAGCCGCGGUAAUACGAAGGGGGCUAGCGUUGCUCGGAAUCACUGGGCGUAAAGGGCGCGUAGGCGGCCAUUCAAGUCGGGGGUGAAAGCCUGUGGCUCAACCACAGAAUUGCCUUCGAUACUGUUUGGCUUGAGUUUGGUAGAGGUUGGUGGAACUGCGAGUGUAGAGGUGAAAUUCGUAGAUAUUCGCAAGAACACCAGUGGCGAAGGCGGCCAACUGGACCAAUACUGACGCUGAGGCGCGAAAGCUGGGGAGCAAACAGGAUUAGAUACCCUGGUAGUCCACGCGUAACGA